UACGGGGGGGGCAAGCGUUGUUCGGAAUUACUGGGCGUAAAGGGCUCGUAGGCGGCUGGCUUAGUCGGACGUGAAAUCCCCCGGCUCAACCGGGGAAUGGCGUCCGAUACUGGCUGGCUGGAAUCCGGGAGAGGGAUGCAGAAUUCCAGGUGUAGCGGUGAAAUGCGUAGAUAUCUGGAGGAAUACCGGUGGCGAAGGCGGCAUCCUGGACCGGCAUUGACGCUGAGGAGCGAAAGCCAGGGGAGCAAACGGG
This 253-nucleotide ribosomal RNA is filed under the name uncultured bacterium. RNAcentral's name for it is "partial 16S ribosomal RNA". It matches the Rfam family "Bacterial small subunit ribosomal RNA", at positions 524 to 776 of the family's 1533-position model. The record is from RNAcentral.